CAUUAAGAAGCUUUAAUGGAUUAAGCAUUAGCCUUUUAAGCUAUAACCUGGUGUACUCCAACCACCCUUAAUGA
This 74-nucleotide transfer RNA is filed under the name Rhyacotriton variegatus (southern torrent salamander). RNAcentral's name for it is "tRNA-Lys". It matches the Rfam family "tRNA". From Rfam's summary of the family: Transfer RNA (tRNA) molecules are approximately 80 nucleotides in length. Their secondary structure includes four short double-helical elements and three loops (D, anti-codon, and T loops). Further hydrogen bonds mediate the characteristic L-shaped molecular structure. tRNAs have two regions of fundamental functional importance: the anti-codon, which is responsible for specific mRNA codon recognition, and the 3' end, to which the tRNAs corresponding amino acid is attached (by aminoacyl-tRNA synthetases). tRNAs cope with the degeneracy of the genetic code in two manners: having more than one tRNA (with a specific anti-codon) for a particular amino acid; and 'wobble' base-pairing, i.e. permitting non-standard base-pairing at the 3rd anti-codon position. The record is from RNAcentral. Lineage: Eukaryota; Metazoa; Chordata; Amphibia; Caudata; Rhyacotritonidae.